Non-coding RNA from Strongylocentrotus purpuratus (purple sea urchin), 73 nucleotides. NCBI's taxonomy places the organism in Eukaryota, Metazoa, Echinodermata, Echinoidea, Camarodonta, Strongylocentrotidae. The record is from Rfam.
GGCGCUGUGGCUUAGUUGGUAAAGCGUCUGUCUAGUAAACAGAAGAUCCCCGGUUCAAAUCCGGGCUGUGCCU